This 468-nucleotide ribosomal RNA is filed under the name uncultured bacterium. RNAcentral's name for it is "partial 16S ribosomal RNA". It matches the Rfam family "Bacterial small subunit ribosomal RNA", at positions 28 to 507 of the family's 1533-position model. The record is from RNAcentral.
GACGAACGCUGGCGGCGUGCUUAACACAUGCAAGUCGAACGGAAAGGCCCUGCUUUUGUGGGGUGCUCGAGUGGCGAACGGGUGAGUAACACGUGAGUAACCUGCCCUUGACUUUGGGAUAACUUCAGGAAACUGGGGCUAAUACCGGAUAGGAGCUCCUGCUGCAUGGUGGGGGUUGGAAAGUUUCGGCGGUUGGGGAUGGACUCGCGGCUUAUCAGCUUGUUGGUGGGGUAGUGGCUUACCAAGGCUUUGACGGGUAGCCGGCCUGAGAGGGUGACCGGCCGCAUUGGGACGGAAGACCGGCCCGAACGCAGACGGAAGGAGGAGGGGGGAAAAUUGGCAAAGGGGGCGGAAGCUUGUGAAGAAAACCCCGGGUGGGGGAAGCCGGCUUUGGGUUAGAAAACCGUUUCCGCCGGGGACGAAGGUGAGGUGAGGGUAAGGAAUAAAAAGAAACGGCCUAACUACGUG